GGCGAGUGAAGCGGCAACAGCUCAAAUUUGAAAUCUGGCCUCUUUGGGGUCCGAGUUGUAAUUUGUAGAGGAUGUUUCGGGUACCGCCUCGGUUUAAAUUUCUUGGAACAGAAUGUCAAAGAGGGUGAGAGUCCCGUCUUGGACCGGCGGUAGGGCCCGUGUGAAACUCCUUCGACGAGUCGAGUUGUUUGGGAAUGCAGCUCAAAAUGGGUGGUAAAUUUCAUCUAAAGCUAAAUAUUGGCCAGAGACCGAUAGCGCACAAGUAGAGUGAUCGAAAGAUGAAAAGCACUUUGAAAAGAGAGUUAAACAGUAUGUGAAAUUGUUGAAAGGGAAGCGCUUACAACCAGACUUGAGCGCGGCGGUUCCCCCUUCCUUUUGGUUGGGUUACUCCGUCGUGUCCAGGCCAACAUCGGUUCUGGGGGUCGGUCAAAGACCCUGGGAAUGUACCUACCCUCCGGGCGUAGACUUAUAGCCCAGGGUGUCAUGCGGCCUCCCGGGACCGAGGAACGCGCUUCGGCUCGGAUGUUGGCGUAAUGGUUGUCAGCGACCCGUCUUGAAACACGGACCAAGGAGUCUAACAUCUAUGCGAGUGUUUGGGUGU
RNAcentral lists this ribosomal RNA (601 nucleotides) under Exophiala sp. Its description in RNAcentral is "partial large subunit ribosomal RNA". It matches the Rfam family "Eukaryotic large subunit ribosomal RNA", at positions 88 to 701 of the family's 3401-position model. Lineage: Eukaryota; Fungi; Ascomycota; Eurotiomycetes; Chaetothyriales; Herpotrichiellaceae. The record is from RNAcentral.